Vigna unguiculata (cowpea) is the source of this 532-nucleotide long non-coding RNA. RefSeq lists it as uncharacterized. Lineage: Eukaryota; Viridiplantae; Streptophyta; Magnoliopsida; Fabales; Fabaceae. The record is from RefSeq and is a predicted model, not a curated record.
UUCUGUUAACUAUGUGAUACCCUUCUUUUUUUCAAUUUCUCCCUCUUAGACAAAAACAACACACCAUACCCAUCUCUCUCGGCUUUUCUGCUCUCCAACUUUCUCCCAAUCUCUUUUCUCAACUUUGCUGUCAUCUCACAGUCUCAUUGUUCAUGCUCAAAUUCGGGAAGAACCAACCCAACAGGACCCUCGGCAGCUUCCUCCCUCGGCUCCCAUUCUCCUAGGUUAAGCUGAAAGUUCCGCUCCCUUGUUAUUCACUUGACUCCAUCAAACUAAUUCUUGACAAAAAGUUAAAAGUGCAGGUGAGGAUACACCCCUCCUGGAUAGGAGUUGAGUGGUGUUUGGACGCUUCCAGCAGUAGUUGCCACCUUUAGUUUUGCUUAGAUGUUUUGGAAGUUUUAUAAUCAUUUUCUAAGUGUAGGCUGUAUGUAUAGGCAAUACAUGUAUAGUUAUUUUGAGGAUGACUGUAUUGUUACCUUAUACUGGUCUAUUACUAUCUUCUGUUUUUGAAUUAUCAUAAUUUAAUGUUUUA